RNAcentral lists this ribosomal RNA (497 nucleotides) under uncultured bacterium. RNAcentral's name for it is "partial 16S ribosomal RNA". It matches the Rfam family "Bacterial small subunit ribosomal RNA", at positions 28 to 507 of the family's 1533-position model. The record is from RNAcentral.
GAUGAACGCUGGCGGCGUGCCUAAUACAUGCAAGUCGAGCGAACGGACGAGAAGCUUGCUUCUCUGAUGUUAGCGGCGGACGGGUGAGUAACACGUGGAUAACCUACCUAUAAGACUGGGAUAACUUCGGGAAACCGGAGCUAAUACCGGAUAAUAUUUUGAACCGCAUGGUUCAAAAGUGAAAGACGGUCUUGCUGUCACUUAUAGAUGGAUCCGCGCUGCAUUAGCUAGUUGGUAAGGUAACGGCUUACCAAGGCAACGAUGCAUAGCCGACCUGAGAGGGUGAUCGGCCACACUGGAACUGAGACACGGUCCAGACUCCUACGGGAGGCAGCAGUAGGGAAUCUUCCGCAAUGGGCGAAAGCCUGACGGAGCAACGCCGCGUGAGUGAUGAAGGUCUUCGGAUCGUAAAACCCUGUUAUUAGGGAAGAACAUAUGUGUAGGUAACUGUGCACAUCUUGACGGUACCUAAUCAGAAAGCCACGGCUAACUACGUG